CAGCACAAAGCUCCUGAGUGCUGCUGCAGAAGACAGGAAGAACUGGACAGAAAAGGAAUGUAACAAAGGUUGUCCAAUCUUCUCCUGCUAAGGCCACUCUGAGUGGUCCCCUUCAGAGCCACGGGUGGGCUUGCAAGAGGAGAUUCUCCUGGUGCUUGAGCUCUUUAUUUCAACUGGGCUCUCCAGUCACCCAACAACGUCUGGAAUGGAGAUGCAGAGAGGGAAAGAGACGUUUCCUUAAAAAGACAUCGACAUCAAAGCUAAAGGAAAGAAAAGGAGCCAGCAUGAUAUGUGAGGGAGGAUGUGAGAUGGAAUUCCAUGGCACACUAGGAUUUGGCCGAAGGCCAGUGGGGUACUGAGUUAAAGGAUACAGAGAGAGGGCAAACACUGGCUGUGCAGAGGCAUCUCAAACCUCAGCUGUAAACCAUCACAGACCCUUGUGUAAAUAUAC
Long non-coding RNA from Xiphias gladius (swordfish), 451 nucleotides. RefSeq lists it as uncharacterized. The transcript is spliced from 4 exons. NCBI's taxonomy places the organism in Eukaryota, Metazoa, Chordata, Actinopteri, Istiophoriformes, Xiphiidae. The record is from RefSeq and is a predicted model, not a curated record.